GACGAACGCUGGCGGCGUGCUUAACACAUGCAAGUCGAACGGAAAGGCCCUGCUUUUGUGGGGUGCUCGAGUGGCGAACGGGUGAGUAACACGUGAGUAACCUGCCCUUGACUUUGGGAUAACUUCAGGAAACUGGGGCUAAUACCGGAUAGGAGCUCCUGCUGCAUGGUGGGGGUUGGAAAGUUUCGGCGGUUGGGGAUGGACUCGCGGCUUAUCAGCUUGUUGGUGGGGUAGUGGCUUACCAAGGCUUUGACGGGUAGCCGGCCUGAGAGGGUGACCGGCCACAUGAGGACUGAGAGACGGACCAGACUCCUACGGGAGGCAGCAGUGGGGAAUAUUGCACAAUGGGCGGAAGCCUGAUGCAGCAACGCCGCGUGCGGGAUGACGGCCUUCGGGUUGUAAACCGCUUUCGCCUGUGACGAAGCGGGAGUGACGGUAAUGGGUAAAGAAGCACCGGCUAACUACGUG
RNAcentral lists this ribosomal RNA (468 nucleotides) under uncultured bacterium. Its description in RNAcentral is "partial 16S ribosomal RNA". It matches the Rfam family "Bacterial small subunit ribosomal RNA", at positions 28 to 507 of the family's 1533-position model. The record is from RNAcentral.